Molecule: small RNA, 148 nt
Filed under: Macaca fascicularis (crab-eating macaque)
Lineage: Eukaryota; Metazoa; Chordata; Mammalia; Primates; Cercopithecidae
Description: Metazoan signal recognition particle RNA (ENSMFAG00000065522.1)
Source: Rfam by way of RNAcentral
GCCAGGCAUGGUGGCGCAUGCCUGUAAUCCCAGCUACUCCGGAGGCUGAGGCAGGAGAAUUGCUUGAACCCAGGAGGUGGAGUCUGCAGUGAGCCGAGAUCACGCCACUGCACUCCAGGCUGGGUGACAGAGCGAGACUCUGUCUCAA